RNAcentral lists this transfer RNA (72 nucleotides) under Scenedesmus sp. NREL 46B-D3. RNAcentral's name for it is "tRNA-Ala". It matches the Rfam family "tRNA". Rfam says of the family: Transfer RNA (tRNA) molecules are approximately 80 nucleotides in length. Their secondary structure includes four short double-helical elements and three loops (D, anti-codon, and T loops). Lineage: Eukaryota; Viridiplantae; Chlorophyta; Chlorophyceae; Sphaeropleales; Scenedesmaceae. The record is from RNAcentral.
GGCAUUGGGUAGUUUAGUGGUAGAACACCGGCAUCGCAUGCUGGAGACCCAGGUUCAAUCCUGGUCCAACCG